CCUUGAUUCCUUCUGUCCUUGAUUCAUUCUGUCCUUGAUUCCUUCUGUGCUUGAUUUGUCCUGUACUUGAUUCCUCCUGUGCUUGAAUCCUCCUGUCCUUGAUUCUAGAAACAGAACACUGAGCCAAUCACGGCGCAACUAGGGAACAUCACCACCCCCUAUGCUCCAUAUUUUCCACUGUCUGCCCCACCACCACAGAAAGCACUGAGCCAGGCUGAAACACCUGCAUUUUGGAGCUGCCUUACUCAAGAAAACAAAAAAGAGACCAUUAAGGAUGCAUGUGAUCUAUGACUUCAUGGCCAGGAACCACUAGGAGCUGAGCAUUUUGAAGAGAGAGGUGGUCCAGAAUCCCCUCCUCUCGACCGGGACAAAGUGAGGCGAAAAGUUCAUUCUCAC
This is a long non-coding RNA of Oncorhynchus masou masou (cherry salmon), 396 nucleotides long. RefSeq lists it as uncharacterized. Lineage: Eukaryota; Metazoa; Chordata; Actinopteri; Salmoniformes; Salmonidae. The transcript is spliced from 3 exons. The record is from RefSeq and is a predicted model, not a curated record.